RNAcentral lists this ribosomal RNA (253 nucleotides) under uncultured bacterium. RNAcentral's name for it is "partial 16S ribosomal RNA". It matches the Rfam family "Bacterial small subunit ribosomal RNA", at positions 524 to 776 of the family's 1533-position model. The record is from RNAcentral.
GACAGAGGCCUCAAGCGUUAGGCGGAAUCACUGGGCUUAAAGGGUGCGUAGGCGGCGCGGUAAGUCGGGUGUGAAAUCUUGGAGCUUAACUCCGAAACUGCAUUCGAUACUGCCGUGCUUGAGGACUGGAGAGGAGACUGGAAUUUACGGUGUAGCGGUGAAAUGCGUAGAUAUCGUAAGGAAGACCAGUGGCGAAGGCGGGUCUCUGGACAGUUCCUGACGCUGAGGCACGAAGGCCAGGGGAGCAAACGGG